Molecule: ribosomal RNA, 655 nt
Filed under: uncultured marine group I thaumarchaeote
Lineage: Archaea; Thermoproteati; Nitrososphaerota
Description: bacterial SSU rRNA
Rfam family: Archaeal small subunit ribosomal RNA
Source: RNAcentral
UUCUGGUUGAUCCUGCCGGACCUGACUGCUAUCGGAUUGAUACUAAGCCAUGCGAGUCUUUGUAGUAAUACAAGGCAUACGGCUCAGUAACGCGUAGUCAACCUACCCUAUGGACAAGAAUAAUCUCGGGAAACUGAGCAUAAUUCUUGAUAGAUCAUAAUGCCUGGAAUGGUUUAUGGUUAAAAUGAUUCGUCGCCAUAGGAUGGGACUGCGGCCUAUCAGCUUGUUGGUGAGGUAAUGGCCCACCAAGGCGAUUACAGGUACGGGCUCUGAGAGGAGAAGCCCGGAGAUGGGUACUGAGACAAGGACCCAGGCCCUAUGGGGCGCAGCAGGCGAGAAAACUUUGCAAUGUGCGAAAGCACGACAAGGUUAGUCCGAGUGAUUUCUGCUAAAGAGAUCUUUUGCUAGUUAUAAAACCACUAGUGAAUAAGGGGUGGGCAAGUUCUGGUGUCAGCCGCCGCGGUAAAACCAGCACCUCAAGUGGUCAGGAUGAUUAUUGGGCCUAAAGCAUCCGUAGCCGGCUCUGUAAGUUUUCGGUUAAAUCUAUGCGCUCAACGUAUGGGCUGCCGAAAAUACUGUAGAGAUAGGGAGUGGGAGAGGUAGACGGUACUCGGUAGGAAGGGGUAAAAUCCUUUGAUCUAUCGAUGACCACCUG